GCCGGCGACCGGCGCACGGGUGAGUAACGCGUAUGCGACCUGCCCGUCACAGGGGGAUAAUCCGGAGAAAUCCGGUCUAAUACCGCAUAAUAUCGUGAAUCUGCAUGGAUUUGCGAUUAAAGGAGCGAUCCGGUGACGGAUGGGCAUGCGUGACAUUAGCUAGUUGGCGGGGUAACGGCCCACCAAGGCGACGAUGCGUAGGGGUUCUGAGAGGAAGGUCCCCCACACUGGUACUGAGACACGGACCAGACUCCUACGGGAGGCAGCAGUGAGGAAUAUUGGUCAAUGGCCGCAGGGCUGAACCAGCCAAGUCGCGUGAGGGAUGACGGUCCUAUGGAUUGUAAACCUCUUUUGUCAGGGAGCAAAGGGCGCCACGUGUGGCGUUUUGCGAGUACCUGAAGAAAAAGCAUCGGCUAACUCCGUGCCAGCAGCCGCGGUAAUACGGAGGAUGCGAGCGUUAUCCGGAUUUAUUGGGUUUAAAGGGUGCGCAGGCGGAAUGUCAAGUCAGCGGUAAAAUUUCGGGGCUCAACCCCGUCGUGCCGUUGAAACUGGCGUUCUUGAGUGAGCGAGAAGUAUGCGGAAUGCGUGGUGUAGCGGUGAAAUGCAUAGAUAUCACGCAGAACUCCGAUUGCGAAGGCAGCAUACCGGCGCUCAACUGACGCUCAUGCACGAAAGCGUGGGUAUCGAACAGGAUUAGAUACCCUGGUAGUCCACGCAGUAAACGAUGAAUACUAACUGUCCGGGCAGAAUGAU
RNAcentral lists this ribosomal RNA (753 nucleotides) under uncultured bacterium. RNAcentral describes it as "bacterial SSU rRNA". It matches the Rfam family "Bacterial small subunit ribosomal RNA", at positions 87 to 836 of the family's 1533-position model. The record is from RNAcentral.